GGUAAGGCCCCUUCGGGGGUACACGAGUGGCGAACGGGUGAGUAACACGUGAGCAACCUGCCCUUGACACUGGGAUAAGCGAUGGAAACGUCGUCUAAUACCGGAUACCAGCUCGGUGGGCAUCCACUGAGCUUGAAAGCUCCGGCGGUCAAGGAUGGGCUCGCGGCCUAUCAGCUUGUUGGUGAGGUAACGGCUCACCAAGGCUUCGACGGGUAGCCGGCCUGAGAGGGCGACCGGCCACACUGGGACUGAGAUACGGCCCAGACUCCUACGGGAGGCAGCAGUGGGGAAUAUUGCACAAUGGGCGAAAGCCUGAUGCAGCAACGCCGCGUGCGGGAUGACGGCCUUCGGGUUGUAAACCGCUUUCAGCAGGGACGAAGCUAACGUGACGGUACCUGCAGAAGAAGCACCGGCCAACUACGUGCCAGCAGCCGCGGUGAUACGUAGGGUGCAAGCGUUGUCCGGAAUUAUUGGGCGUAAAGAGCUCGUAGGCGGUCUGUCGCGUCGGAAGUGAAAACUCAGGGCUUAACCCUGAGCCUGCUUCCGAUACGGGCAGACUUGAGGAAGGUAGGGGAGAAUGGAACUCCUGGUGGAGCGGUGGAAUGCGCAGAUAUCAGGAAGAACACCAGUGGCGAAGGCGGUUCUCUGGACCUUUCCUGACGCUGAGGAGCGAAAGCGUGGGGAGCAAACAGGCUU
This 696-nucleotide ribosomal RNA is filed under the name Naumannella halotolerans. RNAcentral's name for it is "bacterial SSU rRNA". It matches the Rfam family "Bacterial small subunit ribosomal RNA", at positions 68 to 779 of the family's 1533-position model. The record is from RNAcentral. Lineage: Bacteria; Bacillati; Actinomycetota; Actinomycetes; Propionibacteriales; Propionibacteriaceae.